GUUUUUUCUUUUCUUUGAGUUUUUGCUUUAAUGGCGGAAAAGCUUCAAAUAGUUGAGGUUCUAUAUUGUGGAGUUUGCGGUUUACCUGCUGAGUAUUGUGAAUUCGGAUCCGAAUUUGAGAAAUGCAAACCCUGGUUGAUCCAAAAUGCACCCGAUCUCUACCCGGACCUUGUUAAAGAUUCUAAUUUGAAAGAAGCUGAUAAGGUCACUGAUCAGCUCCAGUCGACUUCAAUCUCGGAAGGUUCUUCUACAUCUAAGAAAGAAGAAGUCAAGCGCCUUCCUGGUGGAAAGAUUAAAAAGAAAGAUAAACAGGAGAUAAUUAUUGAAAAGGUCACCAGAAACAGACGAAAGAGUAUCACUACCAUCAAGGGCCUUGAAAUCUUU
This 384-nucleotide unclassified non-coding RNA is filed under the name Hevea brasiliensis (rubber tree). The record is from RNAcentral. Lineage: Eukaryota; Viridiplantae; Streptophyta; Magnoliopsida; Malpighiales; Euphorbiaceae.